Raphanus sativus (radish) is the source of this 4557-nucleotide long non-coding RNA. RefSeq lists it as uncharacterized. The record is from RefSeq and is a predicted model, not a curated record. The transcript is spliced from 5 exons. NCBI's taxonomy places the organism in Eukaryota, Viridiplantae, Streptophyta, Magnoliopsida, Brassicales, Brassicaceae.
AUAUGUUUUCAAACUUGACUAAACUAACCAAAAAGGAAAAUGGAGAAUAAUGGAGAAAAUAAUUAAAAAUAUCUAAUAAAAAAUAACAUAGCAUAGUAAAUAACUUAAAAAUUAGGGUAAAAUCCAAUUUUUUAAUAAUAGGGUCCUGCUUUGAUAUUAUAGAAGUGGUACAAACUAUUAGUUUAUUUCUGGAGGUGAAUUUUAAACUUCGUAAAGAAACGUGAAACAGAAGCAAGCUAUGAAACUUGUGAAACUUAUAGAACCACUCUGUUUUGUACUUUUGUCUAUCACACAAAUCUGGCCAUUAGUAAUUUAGUACACACCCUAUGUUGGUGAAAAUUUGGCAUAGUUUCUUGAAAAUUCUUUGUGUACGCAAAGUGUAAGUUCCCUCAGUAAAAUACAAUUUUUUUUGUAUUUUAAAAACAUCUCAGUAUUUUUAAUCGAGCCUUACCCUACGUUUCAGUUGGGUUGAUUUAGAUAUGCCCUUUAUUGGGAUCUUUGAGACAGAGAUGUUCUGAGAUCACGUUCUUAUAACAGAGUUCAGAUGUCAUUCCGGUGGUUUAAGACUAUUUGGUCUUGUUAAUCAGGGUGUGGUUGGUCUAGGAGAUGCCUGAACAUUUGAGACACAUAUCUCGACCUUUAAAUUUACUUUUAGAUGUCAGCAAGUACAAUAUUAAAUUUUACUUCAUGAGUGGAUACACGAAGCUGUGAACACAUUUACUCCUCACUUUUGCAUUGUUCUGGAUGACAUGAUGAGUGAUUAUUACAGACCUGAAGACAAAGUUCUUUUUUUUUUUUUUUGAACACAGACAAAGUUCUUUUAAAAUUAUUAAAAUAGGAGUCUGAACGCUUAAGUCUUUGAACCGAAUUAUCCAACAACACAAAGUUUUGUGAAAAAUCACAAUCAACGUAGCAUCUCUCUGGUGUCUGUAUCUUUGAUCACCUUCAGUGCCAUGGUUUUUCAGUGCUGAGAUCUGGGAUGCUCUCCGUAGCUGUUACCUGUAACAAAUGUGGGAAAGGGUAGGAUGUUAUAUAAAUUACUCUGUUUUUGGGAGUUUGUUGAUUAGGAUACGGAUGUCAGCUUACAUGGCUGAGAUUACUUCUGGGUGCAAAGGACAAUUUGAGAAAUUUCGAGUAUAUAUUUAUUUUUGAAUUAAGUGUGGUUUCUACUUCACUUUGGAGUUUAGGCUAAAGCGAAAGGAUGUAUAGUGUCUGUUGGGGAUAACUGUAUCCUCUGGAGAAAAACUCUAUCUCCAGCAUGAGUCCCUGUCAAAAGCUCAGCCUCUAAGACUCUGUGUCCCAGCCGUGAAAUAAACAUCCGUGUUCCAUUUGCAUAGUCCAUUAUGCUGAUCAAGAUUGCCUAACAUCAUCACAUGAGCACCAACCUUCAGACAUAGUUUAUGGGCUGACAAACCUGGGAACUCCAGUGAGCUUAAGUAUUUCUGAGUGUAAUUAUUUGUCCAGUCCUCUUCUGGUAUGCUCUCAAAAGCAACACGAUCGGAAACUUAGAUAAUCUUUCUCUGCAGAAGGUACCUUAGAAAGAAGGUAGGAGUUGAUCUCGUGGCACUGGCGUUUGUUGGUCCUAAGUUAGCUCUCUCUGUUAGAUAGGUUCGGUUUAAGUAGUUAUUAACAAAGUUGGUGUAAGAAGCAUCUGAUACAGACUGAUGCGGAAGAUCGAUCUUUCUUUUUCUUUUUUGAUAAAGAAUCCUCAAUUUAAUCUUCUCCCUAGGCCUGGGCAUUCGGGUCUUCGGGUCGGGUCCGGGUCGAGUCGUCUCGGGUCCGGGUCUUUCGGGUCCAAAAAUUUUAGACCCACAUGGGUACUUCCAAAAAUUCGGGUCGGAUCUUAUCGGGUCCGGGUCGGUUCGGGUCCACAUUUCAUAUACCCGUUAAUACCCAAAAAAAAUUCGGUUCUUUAUAUCUCGGGUCGGGUCCGGGUAUUCGGGUCCAUGUUCGGGUAUAUUUCAUAUUUUUGGGUCUAAAACAUGUGAUUCGGGUCUACUUUUUACCCAUGACUUGUUGUUUUACCCGCCGGGUAUUACCUGCAAUUUUGAAAAAGAAUCUGAAACAUGAAAACUAUAAAACCUGCAGUGACAAACUUAAACAUUUAAAACUUAAAGUUACCAUUCAAAAACAAAACAAUAGACAUCCUAAUAUCAUAGUGGCUCGGUUCUAAUGUAAAAAUAUAUAGUGGCUCGGUUCCAAAAAUACCCGCUCGGGUCCCGGGUCGGUUCUGGACCCGAACCUGCUACCCACGGUUCCUCUAUUUUCAGACCCAUUCGGGUAAAUGCCUCGGUUCGGUUCUAGACCCGGACCCGAAUUUUCGGGUCGGUUCCGGUUCGGGUCCUCGGGUCCGGGUAAAAUGCCCAGGUCUACUUCUCCCUUUAACCUUCUUUAAUUUUUUUGAAACACAAACUUAUAUUAAAAUCAUCAGAAAUGUUAGGUGAUACAACUAAACGCAAUCUAAUCUGCCAAACUCUGGUUUGCCAAGCCAUGCAGCUUCGCUAUUUCUCACUCUGGAGAUCCAACGAAAGGAGAUGGUUUCGAAAAAAAUCAGCAAGUGAAAUGAUGUCGGCUGUAAUGCCGUAAAGUUUCGAAGCAAUUGAAACUGAGUUCACAGCUUGGAUGAGUUGGGUUGAAUCUAAUUCACAGCAGAUGCUUUUGUAUCCUAAUUGUCUGCAGCUCCUUUAACCUUCUUUCUUUGAUGAUUUCUUUGAUGGAAAAGAAAUCUCAAAGCCUUCCUUAAUCUCUCCUAAUGAUGGUAACAAUUCGUGUACCGUGUAAUAUAGAGACUCUUUUUUUUACUUUUGAUAGAAUGAUGUACGAAUCAACACAACUCUUUUGUUCUUUUAACCACACCACUCAUCGUACAUAUACAGUAUUAAAUCUUAUAAGUUAUAAUAAUAUAUUCCAUUAUAAUUACCUUUUGCAUAUAUGUAUAUGAUCAUGAGACUAAAAACAUUUAUAAACAUAAAGUAAAGUAGAAAGAUUAUCAAUACAUCCGUAUUCUAAUUAAUUUAUCAAAACUGAUCUUACACUAUGGUCUUUUAUAUUAGAAUUUAAAACCUCACUUUAUAUAUAUAUAUAUUUUUUUUGUCAGCCGUCCAUUAAACCUAGAUCAAAUGGUGGUCAGAUGUAUCGAUUCUCCGGGGAGCAUCUUCAUAUGUCCGGGGAGCUUCUUUUGCCAGUGUAUCUGCACGUCCAUUCUUCUUCCGAGAAAUAUGAACCUCACUUUAUAUAAAGAGAAAUUAGGCUGUAUACCCACAAAACAAUUCAUAAUUAACUCUAUAACAAAAAAAAAGUACCUCCAUUAUUUAUGAAAUAUAUACCAUAUUACCCCUUUGUUUACCGGUUAAUGAAAGAGAAAAUAUUUUUUUUUCUUCUUCGAUUAUCAUCUACCACCACUCUUUUUCCAUCUCCACCGCCUUAUCCUCUGUCACUCUCAUCACCUUCUGUGUUUUAUCUUUUUAUUGUGUCUUUAAUCAAUACUUUUUUCUAUAAUCAAUAUCUCAAUUUUUCAUAAUUAUUAUCAUCUUAUUCAUAUUCACAUUCAUCAUUGAGCUACCAACGACAUAGCCAUCACUACUAACCCAGAUCCAUAAUCUCUACUACAUAUGUUGUCUCUGUUUCUAAAAUCUACAGAUCGUGAUGGCAUUACGGUCGAGUCACGCUCAUUUGUCAUGUGUGGGCCUGGAUAGAACGUAAAACAUUGACCCUUCUAAUUAUUGAAAGUAACUCCGUCGACACAAUCGAAGCUUCUCACAAGAAACAGUCUGAUCACCUUACCGGCCACGAUAAAUGGAGGCGUUACGGAGUGAGGCUCAAUUCGAAGGGUUGUCUCUAUAGCUUGCAAAACCUGUCACGAUUCCUCAUUGAAUGCAUCUCCAUUACUUCCUUUCGGUGAAUCUUCGACUAUAAAAGAGCUGCGCCUGUUGUACCGUUCUGCGAAGCAAAGAAAUAUGAAGCACGGUGUCAAGCUUAUGGGUGUAGACAAGGAGAUGGGCAUUAAACUGCUAUCAAGUUCUGUUAUCAAGCAUUACUCCACAGCCAUGGAGACUGAUGAUGAAUAAAUAUCUUAGAUCACAAAUCGUCCUAUUGGAUCCUCAUGAUGUUCAUCUGGAGAUGGGAAAGGUAGUAUUACUUCCACUGUCAAGCUGAUUGAGUAGUGAUAUGUUUCUUCCCAACAAAGUGAUAGACUUGAUUGAUGAAGAUGGGUCUCUGACUCAACUAUCUCAUGCUCAGAUACUAAGGCAAAUGAAGUGAAGAAAGCUGAGACUGAAGAUGGUCAAUCACUUACUGCCACUGAACCCAAGAUCUAACAUUGUCUCCACCCGGACAUGAGUCCUGGUUGAGAAAGUCUGAUGAAUAUAGCUAUCUUUCCAAGAUGGGCAGACUUCACAAAGGAGUUAUUAUCCGGACGAUUCGAUGUGUUGGGCUCAAGAACUAAAACCUCCCAAUUCAAUGUUAUGAAUUUUCUUUAAAGUAUUCUAUGUACUAAUCUUUUGUAUACUGUUUACAAAAAAAAAAAAACUAAUCUUUUGUAUAGUAUUUUAUUUCAUA